UACCUUUCAAUCAUAUCAUUCUCUGCAAUCAUACCAUACACCUCAUUCAUCACCAUACCUUUCUCUACAAAGUCAUUUCACUUCAAUAAAGGAUCUAUCUUUUCCCUCACUUAGCAUUUUCGAUCAAUCUCAUUUCUCCCUCAACAAACCCAAAGAAAUCCAAGUACAGAGCUCAGCCAUAUUGCGAAUGGAUCAAAUUGCCACAAAACUCAGAUUUCAGCAACUCAAACCAGAGGCUUUGUGGACCAAGGGGAUUAGCACUGUUUUCCCAAGACAGGUUAUGUGAUUAUGAUCUUCAGGCUUUGCCUAUCCAGGUUGAGCAGUUGAUGGAAUGGAUUGAUGUUGAGCGGGUGUUCCUUUGACAUUUCAAGAAAUGUAACCUUGAGUAUACAUCUUCAUAUGUAUAUCUCACACGUUUUCCGCUGCAAAACACUUUGAUUAGGAUAACUUUAUGUUAUGAAAUUGUGACACGUGUUAUUGGGUAACCCACCUUAAUCAGUUCUCAUUUAUGUGUAUGUUUUAUAAGUAUCCAAAUAAUCAUAUAUGAUCCUAGCAUUUUAUCUAUGAGUGACAUUUCCAUAUACUUUAAUGUUAA
Salvia miltiorrhiza (redroot sage) is the source of this 595-nucleotide long non-coding RNA. RefSeq lists it as uncharacterized. The transcript has 3 exons. NCBI's taxonomy places the organism in Eukaryota, Viridiplantae, Streptophyta, Magnoliopsida, Lamiales, Lamiaceae. The record is from RefSeq and is a predicted model, not a curated record.